RNAcentral lists this ribosomal RNA (975 nucleotides) under uncultured Pseudomonas sp. RNAcentral's name for it is "bacterial SSU rRNA". It matches the Rfam family "Bacterial small subunit ribosomal RNA", at positions 55 to 1025 of the family's 1533-position model. The record is from RNAcentral. Lineage: Bacteria; Pseudomonadati; Pseudomonadota; Gammaproteobacteria; Pseudomonadales; Pseudomonadaceae.
AUGCAAGUCGAGCGGUAGAGAGAAGCUUGCUUCUCUUGAGAGCGGCGGACGGGUGAGUAAUGCCUAGGAAUCUGCCUGGUAGUGGGGGAUAACGUUCGGAAGCGGACGCUAAUACCGCAUACGUCCUACGGGAGAAAGCAGGGGACCUUCGGGCCUUGCGCUAUCAGAUGAGCCUAGGUCGGAUUAGCUAGUUGGUGAGGUAAUGGCUCACCAAGGCGACGAUCCGUAACUGGUCUGAGAGGAUGAUCAGUCACACUGGAACUGAGACACGGUCCAGACUCCUACGGGAGGCAGCAGUGGGGAAUAUUGGACAAUGGGCGAAAGCCUGAUCCAGCCAUGCCGCGUGUGUGAAGAAGGUCUUCGGAUUGUAAAGCACUUUAAGUUGGGAGGAAGGGCAGUUACCUAAUACGUGAUUGUUUUGACGUUACCGACAGAAUAAGCACCGGCUAACUCUGUGCCAGCAGCCGCGGUAAUACAGAGGGUGCAAGCGUUAAUCGGAAUUACUGGGCGUAAAGCGCGCGUAGGUGGUUAGUUAAGUUGGAUGUGAAAUCCCCGGGCUCAACCUGGGAACUGCAUUCAAAACUGACUGACUAGAGUAUGGUAGAGGGUGGUGGAAUUUCCUGUGUAGCGGUGAAAUGCGUAGAUAUAGGAAGGAACACCAGUGGCGAAGGCGACCACCUGGACUGAUACUGACGCUGAGGUGCGAAAGCGUGGGGAGCAAACAGGAUUAGAUACCCUGGUAGUCCACGCCGUAAACGAUGUCAACUAGCCGUUGGGAGCCUUGAGCUCUUAGUGGCGCAGCUAACGCAUUAAGUUGACCGCCUGGGGAGUACGGCCGCAAGGUUAAAACUCAAAUGAAUUGACGGGGGCCCGCACAAGCGGUGGAGCAUGUGGUUUAGUUCGAAGCAACGCGAAGAACCUUACCAGGCCUUGACAUCCAAUGAACUUUCUAGAGAUAGAUUGGUGCCUUCGGGA